AUAGCGUAUAUUAAAGUUGUUGCAGUUAAAAAGCUCGUAGUUGGUUCUGUGUGCCACACUGUCGGUUUACCGCCUGUCGGUGUAACUGACAUGUCGUGGGACGUCCUGCCGGUGGCAAUUACAGAUCUUUAAGGUUUGCUAAUUGCCUUUAAUUCUCAUCGCGGUGCUCUUCGUUGAGUGUCGAGGUGAGCCGGCACGUUUACCUUGAACAAAUUAGAGUGCUCAAGGCAGGCCAAAUUCUGCUUGAAUAUUUGUGCAUGGAAUAAUGGAACAGGACCUUGGUUCUAUUUUGUUGGUUUUCAGAAUCCAAGGUAAUGAUCAAUAUGGACGGUCGGGGGCAUUCGUAUUGCGGCGUUAGAGGUGAAAUUCUUGGAUCGUCGCAAGACGAACUAGAG
RNAcentral lists this ribosomal RNA (395 nucleotides) under uncultured eukaryote. RNAcentral describes it as "bacterial SSU rRNA". It matches the Rfam family "Eukaryotic small subunit ribosomal RNA", at positions 594 to 945 of the family's 1831-position model. The record is from RNAcentral.